Erythranthe guttata (spotted monkey flower) is the source of this 740-nucleotide non-coding RNA. NCBI's taxonomy places the organism in Eukaryota, Viridiplantae, Streptophyta, Magnoliopsida, Lamiales, Phrymaceae. The record is from RefSeq and is a predicted model, not a curated record.
UUUAUAUAUUUAUUAUCUGACAAUAUUUCUUUUUAAUAUUUAAAAGCUAAUUCCCCAAUUCCCAUCGCCACUUCUCCUCCGCCGUCGUCAACACCACCGAUACACCGCCAUCAAAACAACUGAAUUCGAUUCGUCUCUGAUAUCUUUUGCCAUGGAUUGCAUUGAAGACAUAUUUGAAUCCUCGUUAAAGUUAGAAGAAACCCAUUUCAAAGAUGGUUAUGAUGAGGGUCACGCCGAUGGUUUAAUCUCGGGGAAGGAAGAGGGCCGGCAAGUGGGCUUGAAAACCGGAUUCGAAAUUGGUGAGGAAUUGGGGUUUUACAGAGGCUGUGUCGAUGUUUGGAAUUCCGCGGCUCGGGUUGACCCAAAUUUCAUCUCUGUCAGAAUCCAGAAAACAAUCAAGCAGAUGGACGAAUUGCUUCACAGCUACCCGAUUCUCGAACCCGAAAAAGAAUCGGGUUCCGAUAUGAUUGAUGCGUUAAGGCUUAAAUUUAGGGCUAUUUGCGCUAGUUUGAACAUGAAAUUGGAGUACAAUGGUUACCCCAAGACGUCAGAUGUUGAAUUUUGAUGCUUAAUUCGGCGGUAUUUAGCAGCAUAUAGAUGAUGCUUGCAAACUGUUUGAUAUAUGUUCUAAGAAAGAAAAAAAUGUGUCUGCGAUUUUAAUUUGAUUUUUCGUGGUAUUGUUGUUGCAAUUGAGGGCCCAACUUUUAUAAAUCGUAUAGUUGAUUGUUCUCAGCCGCAUA